GACGAACGCUGGCGGCGUGCUUAACACAUGCAAGUCGAACGGAAAGGCCUGCUUUCCCUUGUGGAUUGCGGGUACUCGAGUGGCGAACGGGUGAGUAACACGUGAGUGAUCUGCCCCCAACUUGGGUAUAAGCCUGGGAAACUGGGUCUAAUUCCCGAUAGGACUGCAGGGUGGUGCCUGUGGUGGAAAACGAUUUUCUAGUGGUUGGGGAUGAGCUCGCGGCCUAUCAGCUUGUUGGUGGGGUAAUGGCCUACCAAGGCGGCGACGGGUAGCCGGCCUGGGAGGGUGGACGGGCACAUUGGGACUGAGGUACGGCCCAGACUCCUGCGGGAGGCAGCAGUGGGGAAUAUUGCACAAUGGGCGGAAGCCUGAUGCAGCGACGCCGCGUGGGGGAUGACGGCCUUCGGGUUGUAGACUCCUUUCGACCGCGAGGAAGCCACCUGGUUGGGAGGGUGGUGACGGUAGUGGUAGAAGAAGCACCGGCUAACUACGUG
This 494-nucleotide ribosomal RNA is filed under the name uncultured bacterium. RNAcentral describes it as "partial 16S ribosomal RNA". It matches the Rfam family "Bacterial small subunit ribosomal RNA", at positions 28 to 507 of the family's 1533-position model. The record is from RNAcentral.